CUUUCCCUCUGGCGGCAUGCUUUACACAUGCAAGUCGAACGGCAGCGCGGGCUUCGGCCUGGCGGAGAGUCGCGCACGGGUGUGUAAUGUAUCGGAACGUGCCCAGUAGUGGGGGAUAGCCCGGCGAACGCCGGAUUAAUACCGCAUACGCCCUGAGGGUGAAAGCGGGGGACGGAAAGGCCUCGCGCUAUUGGAGCGGCCGAUGUCGGAUUAGCUAGUUGGUGGGGUAAAGGCUUACCAAGGCGACGAGCCGUAGCUGGUCUGAGAGGACGACCAGCCACACGGGGACUGAGACACGCCCCAGACGCCGACGGGAGGCAGCAGUGGGAAAUUUGGGACAAGGGGGGAAACCCGGAUCCAGCCAGGCCGCGGGCGGGAAGAAGGCCUUCGGGUUGUAAACCGCUUUUGUUCGGGAAGAAAUCCUCUGGGCUAAUACCCCGGGUGGAGGACGGAACCGGAAGAAUAGGCACCGGCAAACUAGUG
RNAcentral lists this ribosomal RNA (483 nucleotides) under uncultured bacterium. RNAcentral describes it as "partial 16S ribosomal RNA". It matches the Rfam family "Bacterial small subunit ribosomal RNA", at positions 34 to 507 of the family's 1533-position model. The record is from RNAcentral.